This 229-nucleotide ribosomal RNA is filed under the name uncultured bacterium. Its description in RNAcentral is "partial 16S ribosomal RNA". It matches the Rfam family "Bacterial small subunit ribosomal RNA", at positions 15 to 235 of the family's 1533-position model. The record is from RNAcentral.
GAUCCUGGCUAAGGAUGAACGCUAGCUACAGGCUUAACACAUGCAAGUCGAGGGGCAGCAUGGUCUUAGUUUGCUAAGGCCGAUGGCGACCGGCGCACGGGUGAGUAACACGUAUCCAACCUGCCGUCUACUCUUGGACAGCCUUCUGAAAGGAAGAUUAAUACAAGAUGGCAUCAUGAGUCCACAUGUUCACAUGAUUAAAGGUAUUCCGGUAGACGAUGGGGAUGCG